Molecule: unclassified non-coding RNA, 329 nt
Filed under: soil metagenome
Description: partial contains 5.8S ribosomal RNA, internal transcribed spacer 2, and large subunit ribosomal RNA
Rfam family: 5.8S ribosomal RNA (bases 1-120)
Source: RNAcentral
GAUGAAGAACGCAGCAAAAUGCGAUAAGUAGUGUGAAUUGCAGAAUUCAGUGAAUCAUCGAAUCUUUGAACGCACAUUGCGCCCCUUGGUAUCCCGAGGGGCAUGCCUGUUCGAGCGUCAUUUCACCACUCAAGCCUGGCUUGGUGUUGGGCGACGUCCCCUUUGGGGACGCGCCUCGAAACGCUCGGCGGCGUGGCACCGGCUUUAAGCGUAGCAGAAUCUUUCGCUUUGGAAGUCGGGGCCCCGUCUGCCGGAAGACCUACUCGCAAGGUUGACCUCGGAUCAGGCAGGGAUACCCGCUGAACUUAAGCAUAUCAAUAAGCGGAGGA